RNAcentral lists this ribosomal RNA (274 nucleotides) under uncultured bacterium. Its description in RNAcentral is "partial 16S ribosomal RNA". It matches the Rfam family "Bacterial small subunit ribosomal RNA", at positions 523 to 796 of the family's 1533-position model. The record is from RNAcentral.
AUACGGAGGGUCCAAGCGUUAUCCGGAAUCAUUGGGUUUAAAGGGUCCGCAGGCGGUCAAUUAAGUCAGAGGUGAAAGCCCAUCGCUCAACGAUGGAACUGCCUUUGAUACUGGUUGACUUGAGUUAUACGGAAGUAGAUAGAAUAAGUAGUGUAGCGGUGAAAUGCAUAGAUAUUACUUAGAAUACCGAUUGCGAAGGCAGUCUACUACGUAUAUACCGACGCUGAGGGACGAAAGCGUGGGGAGCGAACAGGAUUAGAAACCCUAGUAGUCC